UCUUCAUUUCACGUACUUUCUCAUCGAUCAGAGAGGCGAGAGAGUGUGUGGAAUGAAGAGC
This is a non-coding RNA of Pristionchus pacificus, 61 nucleotides long. NCBI's taxonomy places the organism in Eukaryota, Metazoa, Nematoda, Chromadorea, Rhabditida, Neodiplogasteridae. The record is from Rfam.